RNAcentral lists this transfer RNA (72 nucleotides) under Anaerosacchariphilus polymeriproducens. It matches the Rfam family "tRNA". Rfam says of the family: Transfer RNA (tRNA) molecules are approximately 80 nucleotides in length. Their secondary structure includes four short double-helical elements and three loops (D, anti-codon, and T loops). Further hydrogen bonds mediate the characteristic L-shaped molecular structure. tRNAs have two regions of fundamental functional importance: the anti-codon, which is responsible for specific mRNA codon recognition, and the 3' end, to which the tRNAs corresponding amino acid is attached (by aminoacyl-tRNA synthetases). tRNAs cope with the degeneracy of the genetic code in two manners: having more than one tRNA (with a specific anti-codon) for a particular amino acid; and 'wobble' base-pairing, i.e. permitting non-standard base-pairing at the 3rd anti-codon position. Lineage: Bacteria; Bacillati; Bacillota; Clostridia; Lachnospirales; Lachnospiraceae. The record is from Rfam by way of RNAcentral.
GGUCCGUUAGUCAAGCGGUCAAGACGCUGCCCUCUCACGGCAGAAACACGGGUUCGAUUCCCGUACGGACUG